AUGACAAUCCUAAGUUGGAACUGUCGAGGCCUCGUGCAACCUCGAACAGCUCAGGAACUCGUGUCUCUCGUGCACACGUACAAGCCCAAGCUCGUAUUCCUCUCCGAAACCCAGCAAAAGAAUAAAUAUGUCAGUAGUCUGAAGUGGAGGCUAGGCCUUCGUCACUGUAUCACGCAACCCGGCACUGGUAAAGGUGCCGGCAUUGCCCUCUUUUAUGAUGAGAAUAUUGAAAUAAAGAAGAUUGCCACGGGGGGCGAGGUACAUCGAUGUGUUAGUCCGUAUGAACCCUCAUGGCCUCCAAUGGCGGGCUACUUUUGUCUAUGGUGA
Molecule: ribosomal RNA, 327 nt
Filed under: Triticum aestivum (bread wheat)
Lineage: Eukaryota; Viridiplantae; Streptophyta; Magnoliopsida; Poales; Poaceae
Description: partial small subunit ribosomal RNA
Source: RNAcentral